RNAcentral lists this ribosomal RNA (1453 nucleotides) under Klebsiella sp. W3. RNAcentral describes it as "bacterial SSU rRNA". It matches the Rfam family "Bacterial small subunit ribosomal RNA". Lineage: Bacteria; Pseudomonadati; Pseudomonadota; Gammaproteobacteria; Enterobacterales; Enterobacteriaceae. The record is from RNAcentral.
ACGCUGGCGGCAGGCCUAACACAUGCAAGUCGAGCGGUAGCACAGAGAGCUUGCUCUCGGGUGACGAGCGGCGGACGGGUGAGUAAUGUCUGGGAAACUGCCUGAUGGAGGGGGAUAACUACUGGAAACGGUAGCUAAUACCGCAUAAUGUCGCAAGACCAAAGUGGGGGACCUUCGGGCCUCAUGCCAUCAGAUGUGCCCAGAUGGGAUUAGCUAGUAGGUGGGGUAACGGCUCACCUAGGCGACGAUCCCUAGCUGGUCUGAGAGGAUGACCAGCCACACUGGAACUGAGACACGGUCCAGACUCCUACGGGAGGCAGCAGUGGGGAAUAUUGCACAAUGGGCGCAAGCCUGAUGCAGCCAUGCCGCGUGUGUGAAGAAGGCCUUCGGGUUGUAAAGCACUUUCAGCGGGGAGGAAGGCGGUGAGGUUAAUAACCUCAUCGAUUGACGUUACCCGCAGAAGAAGCACCGGCUAACUCCGUGCCAGCAGCCGCGGUAAUACGGAGGGUGCAAGCGUUAAUCGGAAUUACUGGGCGUAAAGCGCACGCAGGCGGUCUGUCAAGUCGGAUGUGAAAUCCCCGGGCUCAACCUGGGAACUGCAUUCGAAACUGGCAGGCUAGAGUCUUGUAGAGGGGGGUAGAAUUCCAGGUGUAGCGGUGAAAUGCGUAGAGAUCUGGAGGAAUACCGGUGGCGAAGGCGGCCCCCUGGACAAAGACUGACGCUCAGGUGCGAAAGCGUGGGGAGCAAACAGGAUUAGAUACCCUGGUAGUCCACGCCGUAAACGAUGUCGAUUUGGAGGUUGUGCCCUUGAGGCGUGGCUUCCGGAGCUAACGCGUUAAAUCGACCGCCUGGGGAGUACGGCCGCAAGGUUAAAACUCAAAUGAAUUGACGGGGGCCCGCACAAGCGGUGGAGCAUGUGGUUUAAUUCGAUGCAACGCGAAGAACCUUACCUGGUCUUGACAUCCACAGAACUUUCCAGAGAUGGAUUGGUGCCUUCGGGAACUGUGAGACAGGUGCUGCAUGGCUGUCGUCAGCUCGUGUUGUGAAAUGUUGGGUUAAGUCCCGCAACGAGCGCAACCCUUAUCCUUUGUUGCCAGCGGUUAGGCCGGGAACUCAAAGGAGACUGCCAGUGAUAAACUGGAGGAAGGUGGGGAUGACGUCAAGUCAUCAUGGCCCUUACGACCAGGGCUACACACGUGCUACAAUGGCAUAUACAAAGAGAAGCGACCUCGCGAGAGCAAGCGGACCUCAUAAAGUAUGUCGUAGUCCGGAUUGGAGUCUGCAACUCGACUCCAUGAAGUCGGAAUCGCUAGUAAUCGUAGAUCAGAAUGCUACGGUGAAUACGUUCCCGGGCCUUGUACACACCGCCCGUCACACCAUGGGAGUGGGUUGCAAAAGAAGUAGGUAGCUUAACCUUCGGGAGGGCGCUUACCACUUUGUGAUUCAUGACUGG